UACGUCGGGUGCGAGCGUUGUCCGGAAUUAUUGGGCGUAAAGGGCUCGUAGGCGGUUUGUCGCGUCGGGAGUGAAAACUCAGGGCUUAACCCUGAGCCUGCUUCCGAUACGGGCAGACUAGAGGUAUGCAGGGGAGAACGGAAUUCCUGGUGUAGCGGUGAAAUGCGCAGAUAUCAGGAGGAACACCGGUGGCGAAGGCGGUUCUCUGGGCAUUACCUGACGCUGAGGAGCGAAAGUGUGGGGAGCGAACAGG
This 253-nucleotide ribosomal RNA is filed under the name uncultured bacterium. RNAcentral describes it as "partial 16S ribosomal RNA". It matches the Rfam family "Bacterial small subunit ribosomal RNA", at positions 524 to 776 of the family's 1533-position model. The record is from RNAcentral.